AGAGUUUGAUCCUGGCUCAGGAUGAACGCUAGCGGCAGGCUUAAUACAUGCAAGUCGUGGGGCAGCACAGGUAGCAAUACUGGGUGGCGACCGGCAAACGGGUGCGGAACACGUACGCAACCUUCCUUUAAGCGGGGGAUAGCCCAGGGAAACUUGGAUUAAUACCCCAUAAAAAUGUAGAGUGGCAUCACUUAACAUUU
This 200-nucleotide ribosomal RNA is filed under the name uncultured bacterium. RNAcentral describes it as "partial 16S ribosomal RNA". It matches the Rfam family "Bacterial small subunit ribosomal RNA", at positions 8 to 202 of the family's 1533-position model. The record is from RNAcentral.